Carassius carassius (crucian carp) is the source of this 573-nucleotide long non-coding RNA. RefSeq lists it as uncharacterized. The record is from RefSeq and is a predicted model, not a curated record. Lineage: Eukaryota; Metazoa; Chordata; Actinopteri; Cypriniformes; Cyprinidae. The transcript is spliced from 4 exons.
AUGGUUGAACGAUGGCCAGCACUCUUCACAGAGAGACAGGUGUUUGCUGAGUUUAAUAGAAUUGCCAGUAAGAAUCUUUAGGGAGACUUCUUUGAGGCUCUGGACCAGUACGCGCCACGUUUCAUCGAACUCUUCAAAACAAAGAAGGGAACUGUUGGCCAGAAACUCAGGGAGCUGAUGCAACACAUGAGCUGGAUGACACCAGACGUGACAGUACUUCGCUCUGUUGUCCUCAAAGGCAUUCCCAUUUUACUCUGUGAUGACUCCAGUGAAUUCUACAAGACCUGCUCUGAUACAAUGAGAGACGAGGCCCUAGAAUGCAUCACUGUUGGUGUGCUGACAGUUGUCAGUGAAGAUAGUCCUCAUGAGGGUCAAGGCUCAGUGGACCUCCAGCCCAUCUCCACUGCCAUCAUUCUGGAGGGAGGUAUUGUCAUGGAUCAUAUUAAAAACUUGCCUCAGGCAGUUUGUCUGUUGUUUGGGCUUACAUAUGCAUUGCAUUUGGAUUACCCAAAAUGCAUGGCAAAUACACUCAACUUCAUUCAGACUGUGAUGCUUGGACUGGGAAAGAAAAAA